UUAAGCGACUAAGCGUACACGGUGGAUGCCCUGGCAGUCAGAGGCGAUGAAGGACGUGCUAAUCUGCGAAAAGCGUCGGUAAGGUGAUAUGAACCGUUAUAACCGGCGAUGUCCGAAUGGGGAAACCCAGUGCAAUUCGUUGCACUAUCGUUAACUGAAUACAUAGGUUAACGAGGCGAACCGGGGGAACUGAAACAUCUAAGUACCCCGAGGAAAAGAAAUCAACCGAGAUUCCCCCAGUAGCGGCGAGCGAACGGGGAGCAGCCCAGAGUCUGAAUCAGCUUGUGUGUUAGUGGAACGGUCUGGAAAGUCCGACGGUACAGGGUGAUAGUCCCGUACACCAAAAUGCACAGGUUGUGAACUCGAAGAGUAGGGCGGGACACGUGGUAUCCUGUCUGAAUAUGGGGGGACCAUCCUCCAAGGCUAAAUACUCCUGACUGACCGAUAGUGAACCAGUACCGUGAGGGAAAGGCGAAAAGAACCCCGGCGAGGGGAGUGAAAAAGAACCUGAAACCGUGUACGUACAAGCAGUGGGAGCACCUUCGGGUGUGACUGCGUACCUUUUGUAUAAUGGGUCAGCGACUUAUAUUCUGUAGCAAGGUUAACCGUAUAGGGGAGCCGCAGGGAAACCGAGUCUUAACUGGGCGUUAAGUUGCAGGGUAUAGACCCGAAACCCGGUGAUCUAGCCAUGGGCAGGUUGAAGGUUGGGUAACACUAACUGGAGGACCGAACCGACUAAUGUUGAAAAAUUAGCGGAUGACUUGUGGCUGGGGGUGAAAGGCCAAUCAAACCGGGAGAUAGCUGGUUCUCCCCGAAAGCUAUUUAGGUAGCGCCUCGUGAAUUCAUCUUCGGGGGUAGAGCACUGUUUCGGCUAGGGGGUCAUCCCGACUUACCAACCCGAUGCAAACUACGAAUACCGAAGAAUGUUAUCACGGGAGACACACGGCGGGUGCUAACGUCCGUCGUGAAGAGGGAAACAACCCAGACCGCCAGCUAAGGUCCCAAAGUCAUGGUUAAGUGGGAAACGAUGUGGGAAGGCACAGACAGCCAGGAUGUUGGCUUAGAAGCAGCCAUCAUUUAAAGAAAGCGUAAUAGCUCACUGGUCGAGUCGGCCUGCGCGGAAGAUGUAACGGGGCUAAACCAUGCACCGAAGCUGCGGCAGCGACACUAUGUGUUGUUGGGUAGGGGAGCGUUCUGUAAGCCUGCGAAGGUGUGCUGUGAGGCAUGCUGGAGGUAUCAGAAGUGCGAAUGCUGACAUAAGUAACGAUAAAGCGGGUGAAAAGCCCGCUCGCCGGAAGACCAAGGGUUCCUGUCCAACGUUAAUCGGGGCAGGGUGAGUCGACCCCUAAGGCGAGGCCGAAAGGCGUAGUCGAUGGGAAACAGGUUAAUAUUCCUGUACUUGGUGUUACUGCGAAGGGGGGACGGAGAAGGCUAUGUUAGCCGGGCGACGGUUGUCCCGGUUUAAGCAUGUAGGCUGAUUGUCCAGGCAAAUCCGGAUAAUCAAGGCUGAGGUGUGAUGACGAGGCACUACGGUGCUGAAGUAACAAAUGCCCUGCUUCCAGGAAAAGCCUCUAAGCAUCAGGUAACAUCAAAUCGUACCCCAAACCGACACAGGUGGUCAGGUAGAGAAUACCAAGGCGCUUGAGAGAACUCGGGUGAAGGAACUAGGCAAAAUGGUGCCGUAACUUCGGGAGAAGGCACGCUGGUGUGUAGGUGAAGUCCCUGCGGAUGGAGCUGAGACCAGUCGAAGAUACCAGCUGGCUGCAACUGUUUAUUAAAAACACAGCACUGUGCAAACACGAAAGUGGACGUAUACGGUGUGACGCCUGCCCGGUGCCGGAAGGUUAAUUGAUGGGGUUAUCCGUAAGGAGAAGCUCUUGAUCGAAGCCCCGGUAAACGGCGGCCGUAACUAUAACGGUCCUAAGGUAGCGAAAUUCCUUGUCGGGUAAGUUCCGACCUGCACGAAUGGCGUAAUGAUGGCCAGGCUGUCUCCACCCGAGACUCAGUGAAAUUGAACUCGCUGUGAAGAUGCAGUGUACCCGCGGCAAGACGGAAAGACCCCGUGAACCUUUACUAUAGCUUGACACUGAACAUUGAGCCUUGAUGUGUAGGAUAGGUGGGAGGCUUUGAAGCGUGGACGCCAGUCUGCGUGGAGCCAACCUUGAAAUACCACCCUUUAAUGUUUGAUGUUCUAACGUUGGCCCCUUACCGGGGUUGCGGACAGUGUCUGGUGGGUAGUUUGACUGGGGCGGUCUCCUCCCAAAGCGUAACGGAGGAGCACGAAGGUUAGCUAAUCCUGGUCGGACAUCAGGAGGUUAGUGCAAUGGCAUAAGCUAGCUUGACUGCGAGCGUGACGGCGCGAGCAGGUGCGAAAGCAGGUCAUAGUGAUCCGGUGGUUCUGAAUGGAAGGGCCAUCGCUCAACGGAUAAAAGGUACUCCGGGGAUAACAGGCUGAUACCGCCCAAGAGUUCAUAUCGACGGCGGUGUUUGGCACCUCGAUGUCGGCUCAUCACAUCCUGGGGCUGAAGUAGGUCCCAAGGGUAUGGCUGUUCGCCAUUUAAAGUGGUACGCGAGCUGGGUUUAGAACGUCGUGAGACAGUUCGGUCCCUAUCUGCCGUGGGCGCUGGAGAAUUGAGGGGGGCUGCUCCUAGUACGAGAGGACCGGAGUGGACGCAUCACUGGUGUUCGGGUUGUCAUGCCAAUGGCACUGCCCGGUAGCUAAAUGCGGAAGAGAUAAGUGCUGAAAGCAUCUAAGCACGAAACUUGCCCCGAGAUGAGUUCUCCCUGAGACUUUAAGUCUCCUGAAGGAACGUU
This 2814-nucleotide ribosomal RNA is filed under the name Klebsiella pneumoniae. Its description in RNAcentral is "bacterial LSU rRNA". It matches the Rfam family "Bacterial large subunit ribosomal RNA". Lineage: Bacteria; Pseudomonadati; Pseudomonadota; Gammaproteobacteria; Enterobacterales; Enterobacteriaceae. The record is from RNAcentral.